RNAcentral lists this transfer RNA (77 nucleotides) under Desulfobacterales bacterium. RNAcentral's name for it is "tRNA-Met". It matches the Rfam family "tRNA". Rfam says of the family: Transfer RNA (tRNA) molecules are approximately 80 nucleotides in length. The record is from RNAcentral. Lineage: Bacteria; Pseudomonadati; Thermodesulfobacteriota; Desulfobacteria; Desulfobacterales.
UGCGGGGUGGAGCAGUCUGGUAGCUCGUCGGGCUCAUAACCCGAAGGUCGUAGGUUCGAAUCCUUCCCCCGCUACCA